GACGAACGCUGGCGGCGUGCCUAACACAUGCAAGUCGAGCGGAGUCAGUAAGAGGAAGUUUUCGGAUGGAAUCUUAUUGAUUUAGCGGCGGACGGGUGAGUAACGCGUGAGCGACCAACCUUGCACAGGGGGAUAACGGACCGAAAGGUUCACUAAUACCGCAUGAGACCACGGUGUUGCAUGACACAGGGGUCAAAGGAGUAAUCCGGUGCAAGACGGGCUCGCGUCCGAUUAGGUAGUUGGAGGGGUAACGGACCACCAAGCCUAUGAUCGGUAGCCGACCUGGGAGGGUGAUCGGCCACAUUGGAACUGAGAUACGGUCCAAACUCCUACGGGAGGCAGCAGUGGGGAAUAUUGGGCAAUGGGGGAAACCCUGACCCAGCAACGCCGCGUGAAGGAAGAAGGUUUUCGGAUUGUAAACUUCUGUCCUUGGUGAAGAGAAGAAGACGGUAGCCAAGGAGGAAGCCCCGGCUAACUACAUGCCAGCCGCCGCCGUAA
Molecule: ribosomal RNA, 498 nt
Filed under: uncultured bacterium
Lineage: Bacteria
Description: partial 16S ribosomal RNA
Rfam family: Bacterial small subunit ribosomal RNA
Source: RNAcentral